UUUAUGGAGAGUUUGAUCCUGGCUCAGGAUGAACGCUGGCGGCGUGCCUAAUACAUGCAAGUCGAGCGAACAGACGAGGAGCUUGCUCCUUUGACGUUAGCGGCGGACGGGUGAGUAACACGUGGGUAACCUACCUAUAAGACUGGGAUAACUUCGGGAAACCGGAGCUAAUACCGGAUAAUAUUUCGAACCGCAUGGUUCGAUAGUGAAAGAUGGCUUUGCUAUCACUUAUAGAUGGACCUGCGCCGUAUUAGCUAGUUGGUAAGGUAACGGCUUACCAAGGCAACGAUACGUAGCCGACCUGAGAGGGUGAUCGGCCACACUGGAACUGAGACACGGUCCAGACUCCUACGGGAGGCAGCAGUAGGGAAUCU
Molecule: ribosomal RNA, 374 nt
Filed under: Listeria monocytogenes
Lineage: Bacteria; Bacillati; Bacillota; Bacilli; Caryophanales; Listeriaceae
Description: bacterial SSU rRNA
Rfam family: Bacterial small subunit ribosomal RNA
Source: RNAcentral